AGCGGAUUAGUGUAGUAGAAACAUAAUUGGCUCAUGCCCAUUAGUGAAGGGUGCAAAUCCCUUGUCCGCAU
Molecule: non-coding RNA, 71 nt
Organism: Tuber melanosporum (Perigord truffle)
Lineage: Eukaryota; Fungi; Ascomycota; Pezizomycetes; Pezizales; Tuberaceae
Source: Rfam